Molecule: ribosomal RNA, 546 nt
Filed under: Dacrymyces microsporus
Lineage: Eukaryota; Fungi; Basidiomycota; Dacrymycetes; Dacrymycetales; Dacrymycetaceae
Description: eukaryotic LSU rRNA
Rfam family: Eukaryotic large subunit ribosomal RNA
Source: RNAcentral
AGAAACUAACAAGGAUUCCCCUAGUAACUGCGAGUGAAGAGGGAAAAGCUCAAAUUUAAAAGCCUUCGGGCGUUGUAAUCUAGAGAAGUGUUUUCGGUCGUAGCCUCGGACAAGUCCCUUGGAACAGGGCGUCAUAGAGGGUGAGAAUCCCGUCCUUGCCGAGCCCCCUACGUCUAUGUGAUGCACUUUCGAAGAGUCGAGUUGUUUGGGAAUGCAGCUCAAAAUGGGUGGUAAACUCCAUCUAAAGCUAAAUAUUGGCGAGAGACCGAUAGCGAACAAGUACCGUGAGGGAAAGAUGAAAAGCACUUUGGACAGAGAGUUAAACAGUACGUGAAAUUGUUGAAAGGGAAGCGCUUGAAGUCAGUCGCGUUGUAGAGGCUCAGCCGCAAGGUGUAUUCCUCUGUAACGGGUCAACAUCAGUUUUGGGCGCGGGAAAAGGGUUUGGGGAAUGUGGCAGCCUCGGCUGUGUUAUAGCCUCUUGCCGUACACCGCGCCUGGGACUGAGGACCGCUAAUAGGAUGUUGACGAAAUGGCUUUAAGCGACCC